Molecule: ribosomal RNA, 785 nt
Filed under: uncultured bacterium
Lineage: Bacteria
Description: bacterial SSU rRNA
Rfam family: Bacterial small subunit ribosomal RNA
Source: RNAcentral
UUAGCGAAAGUGCCGGUAAUACCUGAUGAUAUCCGGGAGUCGCAUGGCUUCCGGGUCAAAGGGUGGGGACCUUCGGGCCUAUCGGUGCGGGAGCGGCCCAUGCCCUAUCAGCUUGUUGGUGAGGUAACGGCUCACCAAGGCUCUGACGGGUAGCCGGCGUGAGAGCGCGACCGGCCACAUCGGGACUGAGACACUGCCCGGACACCUACGGGUGGCUGCAGCAACGAAUAUUCCGCAAUGGACGAAAGUCUGACGGAGCGACGCCGCGUGGAGGAUGAAGUCCCUCGGGAUGUAAACUUCAAUAGUUUGUCAGGAAGCAAAGGGGCCUAACACGUCCCUCGUUGACCAUCAAACGAAAGGGGUGGCUAACUCCGUGCCAGCAGCCGCGGUAAUACGGAGACCCCUAGCGUUGUUCGGAAUCACUGGGCUUAGAGCGGGUGUAGGCGGGACGGUAAGUACUGAGUGAAAUCCCCGGUCUCAACCCGGGAACCGCUUGGUAUACUGCCGUUCUUGAGGCAGGUAGGGGUCACUGGAACCUUAGGUGGAGCGGUGAAAUGCGUAGAUAUCUAAGGGAACGCCUGUGGCGAAAGCGGGUGACUGGGCCUGUUCUGACGCUGAGACCCGAAAGCGUAGGGAGCAAACGGGAUUAGAUACCCCGGUAGUCUACGCCGUAAACGAUGCGCACUAGGCUCGAGGGUUCUGACGACCUUCGUGCCGCAAGAAAACCGAGAAGUGCGCCGCCUGGGGAGUACGGCCGCAAGGCUAAAACUCAAAUGAAUUGACGG